Molecule: long non-coding RNA, 1362 nt
Organism: Crotalus tigris (Tiger rattlesnake)
Lineage: Eukaryota; Metazoa; Chordata; Lepidosauria; Squamata; Viperidae
Exons: 3
Source: RefSeq, a predicted model, not a curated record
UGGUAGCUUGAGAACGGGUGGACUUCAACUCCUAGAUGUCUCCAGUUUAGCCAGGCUGGCUGGGAAAUUCUGGGAGCUGAAGUCCUUCCAUCUUCAGGUUGGCAAGGCUGGCGAACCCUGAAGACCCCAGAAGUCCACCACCAGAAGUCCAGACUCUCUCAGGGAGCUGCAGUUUUUUAACCCAGCAAGCGAUAAAGUACCCAAUGGAAUUAAUCACAUUUAUUUAGCUGGAUCCCUCUCGAGUGAUGUGACGUCAAAUGGACCUUUGUCCUUCCUGUGCCCACUCUUGACUCCGAUGCCACCUUCUUUGGGGAAUGUAGGUUCUGACAGGUUGGCCAAGCACCUGACCUGGCUUUCCUCUCUUCCAACAUGUCACAUCCCAAAUCUGGAUCCCGUUGAAAGCCGUGGGACUUCCUUAAUGAAUCAAUAUGGGAUUCUGGUACAGAUCGAAUCCAUUGUUUCCCGAGAAAAUAGGCACCCAUUCAAGGAAGACUCAGCCAGCUUCAACUGAGGUUUUCUUCCAAAGGAGGAUGGUGGAGGAUUUGCAAUCGGCCAUAUUUUUAAGAGGAAUGCUGUGACUAAACCUUGGAGCAGCACAAAACGUGGGACCUUCUCCAAUCAAAAUAAUUAUUAGCCGUAUGAAGCAGAAAAUCAAGCCGGACCAGGAAUAGCGGUAGAUGCUAAGAGAAAGGAAAUUAAACACCCCUUUCCUUCUUCUCCACGUGUGCUGGGCUGUUGGAAAAGCACUGUAGUUUCCUGCACUGUGUUUGCGUGGCCAGGAUGUACCUUCACGCAGGAAGUCAGAAAAUGGAAUCCCUCAGUUGGCCCAAACUGCACAAAGGCUUCAUAGGAUCAGAAAGACCGUGAUUUAAUGCAUGCUUCUCUCAAACCACCUCACAUCCUGGCUCUGUCUGCAACAGUUUGGUGACAGAAUGAUUGCAGCAAAAUGGUUUGCUGGUUAUUCGGGGUAAUCGCAAAACGGAGACACGAUUCUGCAAAAGAUUCAGCUGUGCCGGGAGAAGUAGCCCUUGAUUUACAAACAUUUGCUUGGCGGCCGUUCAAAGUCACACCAGCACUGAAAAAAAAAAAGACUUACAACCAGUCCUCGGGCUUAUAACUGUCGCAGCAGCCCCAUGGUCAUGGGAUCAAAAUUCACAUUUCAGCAAUCCCUUUUUUCAGCUCACCUGAUUUCCAUUUGUGACCUUCUCAGUCCGUUUCUGGCAAGUAAAAUCAAUAGAGAGUCACUUAAUGGCUGCAAUGAUUCACUUAACAACCAUGUUUUUGGAGAUUCAGUCAUCCAGGUCAUGGUUGUCCCAAAGGUGCUUUUUCCAAAAGUAACUGGAUUUUCAUUGUUUUUCCUUG